AAGAAAACACUUCUACAAACUCUCUCUCUAAAACGUCCAUACUCUCUCUCUAAGUGCUGAGCGAGUUGUCCGAAAGGCUGACUUAGCAAUUCAUAAGGGCGAAAGUUGCUAAGGCCGCACGUCCUGAUUACCGUGAAGAAAUCAGUCCGUGACAUGUCGCUGGCUUAGAGAGAGAGCAUAUCGUUAUGGUUAAAGAAAUCGAAGGAGUUUCUCUCCGAUACUAUCAUCAUUCAUCCUUGACGUUGAGGUGGUGUUUGCCGGCAGCAUGGUCAGUAAGAAGAACAAUGGAGAAGUAAGAUUGCCCAGUCAAGGGAAGAGGUGGAGUAGAUCGGGGUCGGGAUAAAAGAAAUCAUCGAAGAAGGCGAAGACAAUUUCACUGUUAGAUUUUGUUUAGAGAUUAUGGCCGG
This 407-nucleotide long non-coding RNA is filed under the name Brassica napus (rape). Its description in RNAcentral is "long non-coding RNA (BNAP_LNC017070)". Lineage: Eukaryota; Viridiplantae; Streptophyta; Magnoliopsida; Brassicales; Brassicaceae. The record is from RNAcentral.